UAUAUAUAUAUACACACACACACAUAGAAGGUGCAGCAGAAAUAACACCCUUUUGUAUUUGAGUUUUCUGGUUUCUGAUUGAGUUUCUUUUUUUUAUUUCCUAAAAACUUCUGCGAUUUUUUCAUUAGUUUAUUAUUCAUUUCUUUAAGUAAUCCAAAAAAUUUGUGUUCAAUAAAAAAUUACUUAAUAAACAUUUAUAUACUAUAAAAAUUACGUGCAAUA
This is a long non-coding RNA of Octopus sinensis (East Asian common octopus), 222 nucleotides long. RefSeq lists it as uncharacterized. The record is from RefSeq and is a predicted model, not a curated record. Lineage: Eukaryota; Metazoa; Mollusca; Cephalopoda; Octopoda; Octopodidae. The transcript has 3 exons.